AUGGUUCAAAACAAAAACAAUAAACAAAACCACAAGGAGAAACGACUCCAUCCAUGGUUGGGUUGAGGCCUACCUACAUCUGUGAACGUCCCGCUGCCCACACCCUCUUCGAAUUCCUAAAUCAGCCACUGUAAAUUUCUGGUCUCAGUAUAUGGCAGGUAUUUGUCACAAGUUAACUUGGUAUAAACGCAAAACCUCAGCAACCUACUGGAUUUCUCAUUUUCUUUUCGUAAUUGGAAUGUUGUUUUCAAAGUAUGUAAUUUAUACGUGACAUUUAUUAAUUGAAAAUAAUAUUACUUGCUAUUUUAGUGUCCUUUUUAAAUUUUGAUUUUACAAAACAUAUCAUAAUUCUGAUGCCUAGACUUAUGGUAGUUUAAUUGGCUUAAAUGGAGGUAACUCUGUCGGCUAAACCGGUGGUAGCAACUGUCUUUCGGAUGAGACGUUUAAGCUGUUAACACCAUUAAAUAUUUUAAGUCUCAGUUAAGCAUGCAUAAAUAUUUAAAUCAAUCCAUUAUUGUAUAUUAUAUAAUGGUCGUUAAAUAAUGAUUUUAUAUGUCCCGACCCACCAACCACCCCCACCCUGCUAUGUUGUUAUAACACUGUUAUUAUUCAGUCAUGAGAAGGGGGUUAUGCUGUUACUCUUAGACUUUGUAAUAUUUUUGCAUACAUAAAAUCCAUAAAACUAUUCUUUUUUGUUCUUAGUGAUUUUUCUGUUGUUUUACAUUGUUUAGCACUAAAAAACAACAUAUUUCGGUUGUUCUACAGUGCUUUACAUUAGUAAACAACAGAUAAUUUUUUUUUUUAUUUUUGUAGUCUUAACUGGUGUAAGGUUUACCAUUUAGAAUUAAUUACUUUGUAUCAGAUGUGUCUGUGGUGCAAUGGUUAGUGAUGUUGGAUUCAGAUCUAAAGGUUGGUGGUUCAAAUCUAGGGAUUUUUGUUUUUUUUGUUGCUAAUUUUGCAAAAAAAAACAAAAAAAAACAAAAAAAACGGGAAAAAAACCCAAAAAUUGUAUGACCUCUCAGUGGCGUCAAUCUGUCGCGCCUGCCCUGUCCGUGGCGUCGAUCCUUCGCGCCUGCCCUGUCCUUGGCGUCGAUCCUUCGCGCCUGCCCUGUCCGUGGCGUCGAUCCUUCGCGCCUGCCCUGUCGUUGGCGUCGAUCCUUCGCGCCUACCCUGUCCGUGGCGUCGAUCCUUCGCGCCUGCCCUGUACGUGGUGACACCCCUGCCCUGUCCGUGGCAUCUGCCGGAGACGCCUGCCUUGUCCGUGGCGUCUAUCCGAGAUGCCUGCCCUGUCCGUAGCCCUGUCCGUACCAAGUGCCUGUCCGUGGUGAGACUUGAUCCUAUGUACCAAGUUUAGGAAGUAGAGCGUCUACCUCCAAGCCAACUGUCUCACUAAAAGACUCUGUUAAUUUCUAAGUUUUAAACCACACUUAAUGUUUAAU
Long non-coding RNA from Anneissia japonica, 1439 nucleotides. RefSeq lists it as uncharacterized. The transcript is spliced from 3 exons. NCBI's taxonomy places the organism in Eukaryota, Metazoa, Echinodermata, Crinoidea, Comatulida, Comatulidae. The record is from RefSeq and is a predicted model, not a curated record.